CAGGGAUUGCCCUAGUAACGGCGAGUGAAGCGGCAACAGCUCAAAUUUGAAAUCUGGCCCUUGGGUCCGAAUUGUAAUUUGUAGAGGAUGUUUUUGGUGCGGUAUCUUCCGAGUUCCUUGGAACAGGACGCCUUAGAGGGUGAGAGCCCCGUACGGUUGAAUGCCUAGCCUUUGUAAAACUCCUUCGACGAGUCGAGUAGUUUGGGAAUGCUGCUCUAAAUGGGAGGUAAAUUUCUUCUAAAGCUAAAUACUGGCCAGAGACCGAUAGCGCACAAGUAGAGUGAUCGAAAGAUGAAAAGCACUUUGAAAAGAGGGUUAAAUAGCACGUGAAAUUGUUGAAAGGGAAGGAUUCAUGACCAGACUUUUUCUAGGCGAAUCAUCCGGUGUUCUCACCGGUGCACUUUGUCUAGUCUAGGCCAGCAUCGAUUUUCGGGGCGGGAUAAAAGCUUUAGGAAUGUGGCUCCCUCGGGAGUGUUAUAGCCUAUUGUAUAAUACCGCCCUGGGGAUCGAGGUACGCGCUUCUGCAAGGAUGCUGGCGUAAUGGUUAUCAAUCACCCGUCUUGAAACACGGACCAAGGAGUCGAACAUUUGUGCAAGUGUUUGGGUGUUAAACCCUCACGCGUAAUGAAAGUGAACGGAGGUGAGAGCCCUUACGGGUGCAUCAUCGACCGAUCCUGAUGUCUUCGGAUGGAUUUGAGUAAGAGCAUAACUGUUCGGACCCGAAAGAUGGUGAACUAUGCGUGGAUAGGGUGAAGCCAGAGGAAACUCUGGUGGAGGCUCGCAGCGGUUCUGACGUGCAAAUCGAUCGUCGAAUCUGCGCAUGGGG
RNAcentral lists this ribosomal RNA (826 nucleotides) under Synnemapestaloides juniperi. RNAcentral describes it as "partial 28S ribosomal RNA". It matches the Rfam family "Eukaryotic large subunit ribosomal RNA", at positions 69 to 922 of the family's 3401-position model. Lineage: Eukaryota; Fungi; Ascomycota; Sordariomycetes; Amphisphaeriales; Sporocadaceae. The record is from RNAcentral.